This 73-nucleotide transfer RNA is filed under the name Paramuricea clavata. RNAcentral describes it as "tRNA-Ser". Lineage: Eukaryota; Metazoa; Cnidaria; Anthozoa; Malacalcyonacea; Plexauridae. The record is from RNAcentral.
UAGUCUGUAGCUCAGUUGGUUAGAGCGCUGCACUGGAAUCACAGGGCCAUAGCUUCAAAUCCUACCAGAGGAC